Molecule: unclassified non-coding RNA, 2109 nt
Filed under: Hevea brasiliensis (rubber tree)
Lineage: Eukaryota; Viridiplantae; Streptophyta; Magnoliopsida; Malpighiales; Euphorbiaceae
Source: RNAcentral
AUUUGCUGUCUUCUCGCUCUGUCAUAGUCCGUUACUGUGUUGCGGCAGGAGGCAAGCUAUGAAAAUGCGAGUGAACUAAUCCACUCUGCUGAAUAUUUACAAAUAGUAAUGGAGAGGAUUACAAAGAUGGAUAGUGGACAUAUCAAAGUGGAAGCCAUCUCCCCAUGACUUCUCUUUUGCCCUCUCCCUUCUUCCUCAAUAUGAACACUCCUCCAUCACCAGAUUGGUGAAGAUGGAGGACAGAAAACAGGCACUUUUGAGCCGGUUGCUUCAGUAUGCUGUUGUACAUCAAGUAUUGGUGAAAUUGUCAUAAAGCGCACAUUGGAAAGGAAACCAUACUUGGUAAGAUUAACCACCGCAAUAUUGUUCUUGUUGUGCACUGAUGAUGUUGUUUUGAAGAUUGGUGAGAUUUAAGAGGUUGCUAGAGUACAUUUAAAUCCAAUGCCAGUUUUAAUUUGAAUCUAGAUUUUAUAUUGGAAUGCAAAAUUUGUUCUUUCAAUUGGUGGGGAUACAGUUCAAAUUCAGAAUGUUCAGUCACUAAUUGCGAUAGCUAUCUGGAUUAGUUUACUCAUGGAACUAAGCCAGAAAUUUCAAAAUUUACCAAAAUUGAACUGGCAACUUUGCUAUUAAUGCAAGUAUUUUUGCUUAAUGACUUAAUCACAAAGCAUUGGCCCCCCAUCUCCUUCAUGGGAACUUUCAUAAGGUGUGAAUGAAUUUUGUCAUUCUUAAAUUUCUUUUAAAAGAUAUGAAGAGUCAUGGAUGGAGACGGUUUGGUUUUGCUGAUGUCAUGCUUUGACAAUCAUUUGUAUUCAUAUUUGUAUAAUGUUGGGACUCUUAUUAGUUGUUGGAAUAUUAAACAAGAGGUUAUUAAUAGUGUAGACCAUGAUAUCCCUCUCUUUAGUAAAAGUUUUGAUUCUAACAAGUUCUUGAGUUUUGAAAAUUGAUAUCAUCCUCUUUCUUCUUUUUUUCUUCUCUCACCUUUUUCCCCUCUUGUAUCUUGGUUACUGCACUUAUGUUUGUAACAACUGGUGGAGCAUUCAUUUCCAAGUGUACAUUCUUGUUUCUAUUACUUUUGAAUUCUAAUCGUGUUUAAUAUACAUUGCAAAUUUUCCAUUUCUUUCAGGAAUGUGCUAAAGGCUACUCAAAAUUUCCCAAUUUUAAUUUCAAUGUUUCUCAUCAUGGCGACUUUGUGGCAAUAGCAUCUGAACCUGUUUGCAUUGUUGGGUUGGACAUUGUUUGCUGUGUCAAACCCCAGAAAGAGACAGUUCCAGAAUUCAUUCACAAUUUUACUUCUUAUUUUUCUAGGUUGGAAUGGGAUAAUAUAAUUAAUUCUGGCACCUCUGAUGAAAUUUUGGUUGAGUUUUACAGGUAUGGUGAUUUAUAUCUAUGAAUUUAACAGUCUUCUCAAUUUCUUUUUGCUGCACCUGAUAAUUCAAAUUUCAGGGGUUUUUUUCUCCCCAUGAUGUUCAGAAAUCCACAAUUGCUAGUUAUGCCCACUCUUGAACUUGUAUCGAGUUGAGUAGCCUAGAACAGAGAAGGUAGAGGAAUAGAAUAAUAAGAUCAGGAAUCUUUCAACAUUCAAACCACAGUUACUUGUAUUCACUCUAAAAAAACUAUCACAAUUAUUUGUAUUCUAACACUUGAUUUUUCUCUUGAAAAGUGCUUACUAUAUACUAAUGUCUAAUUAUAUCAUGAAUUCAUGAUAAAAAAAAACUAGUAAUUUCUUAGUCUAAUGAUUCAGUUUCAGUUAUUCUCAAUAGACCAUCUGUAUUAGUUUAAUUAGUGUGAUUGUCUCAUGAUCAUAGCUAAUAAUUUAUGCAAUAGUGGAAAUUUUAAUUGAUCUGGUUCUGGUAUCUGAGGCUAUGUUGGAUUGUUUUUCAUUCUUGAAUUUGCCUUCCGUGUAAUGCUCAUUGGGUCAUUCCUUUUGAUACUUCUGUUACAUGGUGUGAUUCUGUUACGAAUUGGAUGGCUUAUAUGCACUAUUACAUAAAAUUUUUUAACAACUUCAAUGUGUUUUGAUAUUUGCCAAAUAUUCAAGUUAUUCAAUAGUAUUCAAGCGAAAUUGAGUAUCAUUUUACAUGUUUUCUGUAGAUAUUGGUGUCUCAAAGA